GACAGAGGGUGCAAACGUUGCUCGGAAUUACUGGGCGUAAAGCGCGUGUAGGCGGUUCCGCAAGUCCGGUGUGAAAGCCCAGGGCUCAACCCUGGAAGUGCACAUGAUACUACGGAGCUUGAGUACUGAAGAGGAGAGCGGAAUUCCCGGUGUAGAGGUGAAAUUCGUAGAUAUCGGGAGGAACACCAGUGGCGAAGGCGGCUCUCUGGGCAGAUACUGACGCUGAGACGCGAAAGCAUGGGGAGCAAACAGG
This 253-nucleotide ribosomal RNA is filed under the name uncultured bacterium. RNAcentral's name for it is "partial 16S ribosomal RNA". It matches the Rfam family "Bacterial small subunit ribosomal RNA", at positions 524 to 776 of the family's 1533-position model. The record is from RNAcentral.